RNAcentral lists this long non-coding RNA (593 nucleotides) under Elaeis guineensis (African oil palm). RNAcentral's name for it is "long non-coding RNA (EGUI_LNC073570)". The record is from RNAcentral. Lineage: Eukaryota; Viridiplantae; Streptophyta; Magnoliopsida; Arecales; Arecaceae.
CCUUUUUAUUUAUGACUGUAGGACCUUUCGAGGCCAUUUGAGUUUGACACUUCCUUCUGGUGCUCGAGCUUGGAGGCCCGAACAUCUCGUUACCUUGAGGAAGUCAAUUUUUCCUUAGCCUGUGCUGAGUUCCCUCUCAGAGACUAAGGAUUUUUGAUAAGAGUCUCUUUUCUCAUUGAGACGAGGUCCCUUGUGUCUUCGAUGUAGUCUGUUUUUCACUUAUCACUGGUGUAGUUCGUCGUUUUCCUUUUCUUCUUCUCCCUUUUUUAUGUUCGAAUGAGGAUUUUCCCUUUGCUCCUAAUGGGGUUGUAGGAGUGUAGAGGAAUCAUUGAGGAGGCUUUCCUCCUUAUCCGGUCUCGAACAAUCGGGUCAUCAUUUAUGUCAAGGCGAGGUUCUCCUUCUGUUCCUGACGUAGCCGAUUUCAGCUCAUGUUAGCACGAGGUUCUCCUCCAGCUCCUAACAGAGCUGUGGGGGCACGUAAGGGCCGCUAUAGGGGCCUCUCCCCCCAUCCAGUCUUUAAAAAAUCAGGCCUUCGACUUUGCUCAUGUUAGGAUGAGAUUUUCCUCCUAUUCCUAACAAGGCUGUGGGGGCAC